Long non-coding RNA from Myotis myotis, 3152 nucleotides. RefSeq lists it as uncharacterized. The record is from RefSeq and is a predicted model, not a curated record. The transcript has 4 exons. Lineage: Eukaryota; Metazoa; Chordata; Mammalia; Chiroptera; Vespertilionidae.
GGUCUUUUUUUUUUUUUUUUUUAGUUUUAUUCAUUUCAAACGGCCGGAUCCGGCCCGCGGGCCGUAGUUUGCCCACGGCUGGUCUAGGGAGAGGAGCGGCUGGUGUCUGGCUGGGGUUGGUCUCCGGGGCACGUCCCAGGGUUCUCUCCUACCUGAACCAGGCCUGGAGCCUGCAGAAGUCAACGCCAGCUCUUCUGGUUGUGCGCCAGCGUCAGGCCCGGGACUGUCAUUUAGGAGGUGGGUCUCUGCAGGGGAAGACGGGGCCUGGCAACCCUUCUCCUGGUCGCACCGCAUCCUCUGGUUCUUGGGCUGCCCUUGUCCACUUGCGAUUCCGCCAAGACUCUAGUCCACGGCUGCCUGUGGGCAGAAGGCACCAGGUUCUGACUUGUCUGGGUGGAGCAAAGACGAGUCCUUCCUGGGCGUGCCCUGGGGCAGCGAGGCCAGCCACUGGCCAGACCAAGCAUUGGGGAGAAUUGUGCCACUGUGGAGACCCGCGGCCCCCUACCCAGCAGAGCGUCCCCUGAGCGGUGGGGGGGUGGGCCAGGGUCACGUGAGGGGACACCAUCUUCACGCACCUGCCAGCCAGUCGACUGCGAACUCACCUGGAGUUGUCAAGGACAGCAAGAAAAAUAAGGGACUUUCAGGGGCAGCUGUGUUUUCUGACUCAAGUCAUAAUGCCCCUAAAAAUCCUUAUUGCUCUUGCAGUGGGCAUCGGGCAGUGGCUGGCAACCCACCCCUCACCCACCUGGCCGCUGAGGGAUGGGAAGGGCUUCCAGGGGUCCAAUUGAGACUUGCUGAUUGUUAAAACGCGUUCGUUGGGCCGAUGCAUUGCCUUGCAUGUGUUUUGACCAUUGCUUGGUGGGGGAUUGGGCAUCCAGCUAGUCCUGCAUGGAUUGGAGAGUCUCCUGGGUUUGUGCGGGUGAAGGUUCAGAAGGGCCCAGCUGCACAUGCAGGGCACGAGGAAGGGCGGCCUUGGGGCCAGGUAGGUCGAGGGCCACAGUGUUGGGCUGGCUGGGUGCCCCGUGGGCAGGAACUGGCACUGUGUCUUAACGCAGAAAGAGCCUCAGUUCCCUCCCUCAGACCCCGUGAGCUGGCCAGUUUGCAAACACGCCUGCAGGGGGUUCAAGCCUCCCCUCCCCUCUCCCCUCAGGUGACCCUGGAGCUUGCUGGGUGUUUUCUCUCCCUAUUUCACUUCCUGAAUCUCCUCCAUUCUCAGUAGGUGCCCCCAACCCCACCUCUUCUGUCCCCACCCCCACAGAUAUUUCGGUUAAGCCAAGGCCUUGAGUGGGGAUUGUUAAGCAGCCAAAAUAUCCAUUUGUGACAUGCGCACCCCCCCCCCCCCCCUCCCAACCCAGGAACACCAGUCCACAAUCAGGUCACCAACCCACCCUGGCUGCCGUGGCUGGGUUGGUUGUGGUUCCAUGCACCAAAAAGUCCCUGGUUCGAUUCCUGGCAAGGGCACAUACCUAGGUUGCAGGUUCAGUUCCUGGUCUGGAUGCAUACGGGAAGCAGCUAAUCGAUGUUUCUCUAAAAUCAAUAAAAAACAUUUUUUUUAAAGUCACCAAAUCCCACAGCAACAGAAUCUUCCUGUCUAGCUGAGGCUGAGCCGUGGGCUGCCCGUGGAUGGACAGACGAGGCAGUGAACAGGCAACAAGCCCCAUCUUGUGUCCCGUUGACCUACCGGUCAGCAGGGGCGAGUCACCCUCCAGGUAUUUCUCAGGUUCCCUCCCAGGUGCUGACUCGAAAGCUCUCAUCACUCAAGAAGACCGUAUGUGGAACCUUGACCGCCAUGAUCCUCAUUCCUGGCCAGCCAGGCCCCUUGCUACCCGGGGCCCGAUCGUCUGAGCCUGCCUCCACACCAGCUCUCCCAGACAGUUUCUAAGGAGCUGGAUUUGCACCGGAUCCUCCUCAUUUUACUGCCCCAGGGGAGGGGCAGCUCCAAGAAGGAAGACAGAGGCCAAGGAGAUCAGGAGACUUGCCCGAGGACACACAGCUAGGAUGUGGCAGAGGUAGGGUUGAGGUCUGCGGCUCCUGACUCCCAAGGCAGAGCCCUGUGACAUCACAGAAAAGCAGCCUUGGAGGACCUCGAAUGAGUCUGGGGCCUGUCCCUGACGACCUGGCCACUGCAGAGGCGCCUGGAGAGGAUCACCCCUCCUCCACCAAGUACCCCUGGUGUUCAGGUGGGGCCAGUUCCACCCCCUGGCUUGAGAGGCAGGCACGUGUCCCAGGAUGGACGCUGAGACUUCCCCUCGGGACUUUUGCAGUGACUAUGAGGAAAGAGGCAUUCGGUUUUUGUGGGAGUUGCCAAGCUUGGAACUGCUGGUGGCCAUCCUGUUCUCUGCUUGAGGAUAAAGCCAACAAGGAGCAAAGAGAAGGCGAGUGUAUUCUAUCCAGACAUCAGUAAGCCCCUGGAUCAAGCCAUGCCUGAAGCCAACUGCAGCCCUGGACUAACCUGAUUAUAUGAACCAAUGCCGUUUUCUCCGAACACUGUCUGGAGUUGGGUUUCUGGCAUAGAAAGGGUCCUAAGAAUGGCAAUGGUUUUCUUUGCUCUCAUUUUUAGAAAGUCACCCUUGAGGCAUACUUUACAUGCGAUAGAUUUCACCCAUGUUAAGUGUCCAAUUCAUAAGUAGUUACAGCCUUGUAACUAUCACCAGCAUUCAAGUUCCCUCCUUCCCCUUUAUGGCCCAUUUUCCCAACUCCAGAGAACCACCGACCUACCUAUCUUCUAAAGGUUCUUUUUGCCUUUUCUAGAAUUCCAUAUAAAUAUCACAUAGUGUGUUCUCUCCUGUGUCUGCCUUCUUUUAGUCAACAUGUUUUGGAGAUUUAUUCAUGUUGUUGCGUGUACCAAUAGUUCAUUCCUUUUUGUUGCCAAGUACAGUGGGGCCUUGACUUACGAGUUUAAUUCGUUCUGAGACCGAGCUCGUUAAGGAGCUCGUUAACUCAAAUUACUUUAUCAACGGAAUGCAAAAAAUCGGCGGAGAGACAGCUGGUAUCUCAAAAAACUCGUUAGUCGGGACACUCGUAAGUCAAGGCCCCACUGUAGUGUUCUAUUGUAUGGACGUACCACAGUUUGUUUAUCCAUUUAUGGGAUGAUGACCAUUUGGACUAUUUCCAGAUUUUGGCUACUGUGAAUAAAACUGUUAUAACAGUCA